GACGAACGCUGGCGGCGUGCUUAACACAUCCAAGUCGAACGGAAAGGCCUCUUUCGGGGGGUACUCGAGUGGCGAACGGGUGGUUAACCCUUGAGUAACCUGCCCUUGACUUUGGGUUAACUUCAGGAAACUGGGGCAAAUACCGGAUAGGACCUCCUGCUGCAGGGUGGGGGUUGGAAGGUUUCGGCGGUUGGGGAUGGACUCGCGGCUUAUCAGCUUGUUGGUGGGGUAGUGGCUUACCAAGGCUUUGACGGGUAGCCGGCCUGAGAGGGUGACCGGCCACAUUGGGACUGAGAUACGGCCCAGACUCCUACGGGAGGCAGCAGUGGGGAAUAUUGCACAAUGGGUGGAAGCCUGAUGCAGCAACGCCGUGUGCGGGAUGACGGCCUUCGGGUUGUAAACCGCUUUCGCUCAUGACGAAGCUUUGUGUGACGGUAGUGGGUAAAGAAGCACCGGCUAACUACGUG
Molecule: ribosomal RNA, 467 nt
Filed under: uncultured bacterium
Lineage: Bacteria
Description: partial 16S ribosomal RNA
Rfam family: Bacterial small subunit ribosomal RNA
Source: RNAcentral